CAGUAUUAUCAAACGAGAAAAUCAACAAGAAAUCAGGAAUGACACUUCCUGGGCUGCAGAGAAAGAGGAAAACAUCUGGAUGCGAGUUUGUCCAUUGUGAGUUCCAAGAAUCAGGGGCGGAACUCCCAGAGGUAACUGAGAUGCCUGUUGCCCGUUUUUUUGUGCUUCAAUGCUGAGAAAUACAAGUAGCAGGAAGUCCUGGAAGUGAUGAUAUGGAUCCCACAGAGCCAUGAUCUUAACAUUUUUGAGUCUGUCUGGGAUUACAUGAAGCGACAGAAGGAUUUGAGUAAGCCUACAGCCACAAAAGAUCUGUGGUUCCUCCUUGCCGAGUUCCUUCAAAAACUGUGUGCAAGUGUACCUUUAAGAAUUGAUGCUGUUUUGAAGGCAAAGGGUCUCUUCUGUUCA
Long non-coding RNA from Pseudophryne corroboree (corroboree frog), 405 nucleotides. RefSeq lists it as uncharacterized. The record is from RefSeq and is a predicted model, not a curated record. NCBI's taxonomy places the organism in Eukaryota, Metazoa, Chordata, Amphibia, Anura, Myobatrachidae. The transcript is spliced from 3 exons.